RNAcentral lists this ribosomal RNA (468 nucleotides) under uncultured bacterium. RNAcentral describes it as "partial 16S ribosomal RNA". It matches the Rfam family "Bacterial small subunit ribosomal RNA", at positions 28 to 507 of the family's 1533-position model. The record is from RNAcentral.
GACGAACGCUGGCGGCGUGCUUAACACAUGCAAGUCGAACGGAAAGGCCCUGCUUUUGUGGGGUGCUCGAGUGGCGAACGGGUGAGUAACACGUGAGUAACCUGCCCUUUACUUUGGGAUAACUUCAGGAAACUGGGGCUAAUACCGGAUAGGAGCUCCUGCUGCAUGGUGGGGUUUGGAAAGUUUCGGCUGUUGGGGAUGGACUCGGGGGUUAUCAGCUUGUUGGUGGGGUAGUUGCUUACCAAGGCUUUGACGGGUAGCCGGCCUGAGAGGGUGAACAGCCACAAUGGGACUGAGAGACGGCGCAGACGCGAAUGGGGGGCAGUAGGGGGGAAUAUGGCACAAUGGGCGGGAGCCUGAGAAGGAAACGCUGGGAGCGGGAUGAAGGCCUUCGGGGUGUAAACCGCUGUCGCCUGUGACGAAGCGGGAGUGACGGUAAUGGGUAAAGAAGCACCGGCUAACUACGUG